AGUCAAACCAAAUUCAAGCAUGCACAAAGAAAGUCAACAAGCAUGGGUCAACUUCAAAAAAUCAUAUCAAAUUGAAAACAGAUGAGAAAUGAAUGAGAUUAACACCAAUGCCAAGCUUGAGAUGUCUAGUUAUCACAUAUCAAAUUUCAUGUCCAUCUAAUAAAGUAUGAGAAUUUCACAAAUGAAAUGGGAACAUGUGUCACACAAAGUCAACAUUUGACUAGGCAGGGAGGAAAAAUCUCAAACAAAUGGAAAAUAGUUCAAAUAAAUCCAAGAAAAUUCACAAGUCAACUAGACAUACAAGAGUAGGCUCAUGCAAAAUUUCAAUCCAUUUGGAGGUCAAGAAGCAUAGCAAUGAAAAUCAUGAAGUUGGUCAUCAAUGGUGUGACACAAAUUGUCACACCCUAAUUCAAAAAAUCAUAUCUCACAAACCACAGAUGAUAAAUGCACAAACUCUAUACCAAAAUCACCAUGAAUGUGUCUAGUUUAAGCACAAAAAAUUUGGGAGCCAUUGGAUAAAG
This 521-nucleotide long non-coding RNA is filed under the name Lathyrus oleraceus (garden pea). RNAcentral describes it as "Pisum sativum (pea) long non-coding RNA (PSAT_LNC014180)". Lineage: Eukaryota; Viridiplantae; Streptophyta; Magnoliopsida; Fabales; Fabaceae. The record is from RNAcentral.